This 230-nucleotide long non-coding RNA is filed under the name Sorghum bicolor (sorghum). RNAcentral describes it as "long non-coding RNA (SBIC_LNC018721)". Lineage: Eukaryota; Viridiplantae; Streptophyta; Magnoliopsida; Poales; Poaceae. The record is from RNAcentral.
UGGAAAUCGGCCCGAAGGCCUAGAACUUUUUUUCCCCUCCUUCUUCUUCUCUCUGGCCCAAGUGGACCGCGGCCCAGCUUCCGGCCCACUGCGCAACAGCCCAGCGCCAGCGCUUUUCUCCCCUCUCUUCUUCCACCGACAAGCGGGUCCCGUGCUUCUAGGUCACAGACAGGUGGGGCCCACCUGUCAGGGCCUUCUUCCACCUCGUGAUGGAGCCGGACUCCACCGUG